AUGCGGAUAUAGUUUCCAUAUAAUUCAUCUCCUUGAUCAAAAUGCUCAUAGGACACCUCAGAGUUUAACUGUCAACUCUGAUCAGAUUGUCCACAUUGCAUUCCAAAAUAUCAAAUCUAUCUGAUGGAUUACUCUGGCCAAGGUUUUGCUAAAUUGAAAUACAGCGACUCAUUCUUCUCCAACUCUUGGAGUGGUCAAUCCCAUCUUGAUCACACUCUGACUUCGCAAGUACUUGACUGUGCCCAGAAGCCUUCCGUCACUAAAUUAGAAAUUCAGUUAGUCUAGUACCAAAGUACAGUGAGUUGCUUGCAAGUCAUUGAGGCGAUCUCAGAUCUAAGAGACACUUAUACC
Molecule: long non-coding RNA, 351 nt
Filed under: Elaeis guineensis (African oil palm)
Lineage: Eukaryota; Viridiplantae; Streptophyta; Magnoliopsida; Arecales; Arecaceae
Description: long non-coding RNA (EGUI_LNC022590)
Source: RNAcentral